GCUACUACCGAUUGAAUGGUUUAGUGAGGACUCCUGAGUGGCGCCGCCGCCCCGGCAACGGAGCAGCGGACUGCCGAAAAGUUGUUCAAACUUGAUCAUUUAGAGGAAGUAAAAGUCGUAACAAGGUUUCCGUAGGUGAACCUGCAGAAGGAUCAAGAACGGCAGAGCGUCGGGAAGGGAAGGAGUGUAGAUUGCGGUGGGCGCCGUAUCAUUAAAAAAAAAAUAGGAUGGCGACACCGAAUUACGAUGUACCAUCGACGUCAAUACAACGACACAU
RNAcentral lists this unclassified non-coding RNA (277 nucleotides) under sea anemone metagenome. RNAcentral describes it as "partial contains small subunit ribosomal RNA and internal transcribed spacer 1". The stretch from base 1 to 158 matches the Rfam family "Eukaryotic small subunit ribosomal RNA", at positions 1678 to 1831 of the family's 1831-position model. The record is from RNAcentral.